Molecule: transfer RNA, 64 nt
Filed under: Curculionoidea sp. 4 KM-2017
Lineage: Eukaryota; Metazoa; Arthropoda; Insecta; Coleoptera
Description: tRNA-Val
Source: RNAcentral
CAAAUUAAAGCUUGUAUAGCAUUUUAUUUACAUUAAAAAGAAUAUUAGAAAUAAUAUAAUUUGA